UCGCGAAGCAAAAACCCAAACUUGAAUAUCGCGAAGCAAAAGGCUACAUCAGACGAUGUACAAGUUUUUCAAAAAUGAUUUGAUCGAUUGGUGUGUUUCGAUCUUGUUGAUUCACUAGGUAAAUCACAGCCUCAUCCUUCUAUAUUACCUGUUGAUCGAUCAAAAAAAGCACCUUACCUCGGAUCAAGAAAAAAGAAGAAACCGAAUCUCGGAAAACGACAAAUCACACAGUUGAACAAGGUGGGAGUAGCUCGUGUGAUCUAGUCGAAGGUCCAUAGGAAACUGAUAAGGAGAGGGGUCUUCCAUCUCACUAUUCUAGAUUCUACCGAAUUAGUUGGAAUUGAAUUCGUCCAAGAUUAAAUGCCAGUUGAAUGUCGACUAGUGUUGAAGGUCCAAGCUGUACU
This is an RNA transcript of Arabidopsis thaliana (thale cress), 404 nucleotides long. RefSeq lists it as uncharacterized. The record is from RefSeq. NCBI's taxonomy places the organism in Eukaryota, Viridiplantae, Streptophyta, Magnoliopsida, Brassicales, Brassicaceae. The transcript has a single exon.